AUUGAACGCUGGCGGCAGGCCUAACACAUGCAAGUCGAACGGUAACAGGAAGAAGCUUGCUUCUUUGCUGACGAGUGGCGGACGGGUGAGUAAUGUCUGGGAAACUGCCUGAUGGAGGGGGAUAACUACUGGAAACGGUAGCUAAUACCGCAUAACGUCGCAAGACCAAAAAGGGGGACCUUCGGGCCUCUUGCCAUCGGAUGUGCCCAGAUGGGAUUAGCUAGUAGGUGGGGUAACGGCUCACCUAGGCGACGAUCCCUAGCUGGUCUGAGAGGAUGACCAGCCACACUGGAACUGAGACACGGUCCAGACUCCUACGGGAGGCAGCAGUGGGGAAUAUUGCACAAUGGGCGCAAGCCUGAUGCAGCCAUGCCGCGUGUAUGAAGAGGGCCUUCGGGUUGUAAAGUACUUUCAGCGGGGAGGAAGGGAGUAAAGUUAAUACCUUUGCUCAUUGACGUUACCCGCAGAAGAAGCACCGGCUAACUCCGUG
RNAcentral lists this ribosomal RNA (490 nucleotides) under uncultured bacterium. RNAcentral's name for it is "partial 16S ribosomal RNA". It matches the Rfam family "Bacterial small subunit ribosomal RNA", at positions 30 to 507 of the family's 1533-position model. The record is from RNAcentral.